CCCUCCGGAAUUCCUUAUUGACCUAUGUAGCUGAGGUGCGAGUAUUGCAGGAGCAAAGGCCUCCGGUUUCUUGGCUCCCCUCUCUCCAGGUUGGAAUGGAAGGAGCCGGCAUACCACGUGACCAAGUUUGGCAAGUCACGUGAUGAGGCACCGGCCGUAACUACGCCUCGGAAGUCUAGCUGUGGCGGAGCUCCUGGUCACCUUGGCGGUGGGCUCUUAGGAGCAGAGAGCCCUCUCUUACCAUGUCUGGCUGUCGGCGACCCAGAUGCCAGGUGAUGGUCAUCUGAAGACAGGCCUGUCGGACGUCAGUUUAUAUGCAGGUCUCAUGCAGUGUUGCUCUUUAUCUGAACUGGUGAUGCUGGACACAGGGAACAACCCAGGUAAUACCUCUGGUGUCAAGAUGUCAAAGCAGCUCAAAUUGGUCUGACAUUUCUCAGAAAGUUCAUGAAAGAUGCUGAGUGUCAUAGAAAGCCCCAAGUCCGCACGAGGAGAGAAGAUACCUGAGGACAAACAACUCCUAGUAAUAGUUAUAAUAAUUGCAAGAACUAAUUUUUUCGUAGCUUUUAGCCUGUGUCACACUGUUGUGUUAUGUUGUUUUAUCCUCAUCAACCCCACGAUGGGGCUCCUGUCAUCCCCAUUUAGAGAUGAGGACACUGAGCAUGCAUCUGGUAAGUACUGAGGCCAGGAUUGAGGAUUCUGACCCCGGCAAUCUGAAUCUGGAGCCUGAACACGUAGCCUCGGUGCCAUUUGUAGGCUCAGCCUUCCUGUGUGUCCUGAUAACAACUCAGCUGUUUGCCAGGGGAUGAAGUUGCUAUGGUGAGUGGAGAUAGAGGGCUGAACUAGUAAAGUGUGAGUGGAGGCUUAACCUGUUCAAGGUGAGCAGAAGAUGGUGAUGCAGGAGCACCGUGAGAUCAGUAAAAUCCAAGAUUCUGUUAAUCACACUGGUCUCCAUCUUACCUGUGUUACCCUGGACUCAAAAGCCCACAGCUACUAUUGGCCAGGCUUGGGGGGUUGGAGUAGAGAUCCCCAGUGGAAACACAGUUCAGCUGUUCUCCUUACCAGCUACUCACUUGCGUAUCUUGUCAGCAUUUCAAACUCCACGUACUUAAACCUAAGUACCUUAUCUUUGCUUCCAAACUGGCUUCUUCUGACUUUGCUGUUUCUGACAAUUGCUCUGGUUCAUUAGCUUGUAUCAGUUUUGUCCCUUUUCUCCCAUGUUCCCUAUAUCUAAGGUUUCAUCAGGAUUCUGAGAACAUUUUUAAGCAAGCACAAGCCAUGUUGCUGCAUUCUGCCUAGCAAUAGAUUCUGAACUCACUUUUUAAUAAAAUUACAGUAUUUCUAGGUUGGUACAACCCACCCACCCCGUAGGGCUCUUAGGUGUUGCAGAACCUUAGACCUCUGACCUUUCUCUCUCCAGUCUUAUACUCAGGCAUGCUGCAGCUACUGUUUCCUCCCCUCACCAAGUCUGUGAUUGUUUUCCUUUUCAUUCCCGUCACCACCUUGCCAAUCCAUGUCCUUCUCCACCUCUCUCCUGGGCAGGUAUAGGUAGCCUGCUGGGGUGCUCUCCUUGCCUACUUAGCAGACUCCUCAGUUAGGGUAGAACAUUCUCCAUCAAUACUGUAGGGUUUAUGGGCUGUCUCUUGUAAUUUCAAAUUCUAGUUCCAGACAUUGUUCUCUGGUUGGUUCUUAUGCACAUCACUUGUCUGCCUGGCUCAAUAGUAAGUCCCCUAAGGCAGGCAUGGGGCUUUUGUUUUACUAACCAUAUUCCACCUAUAUACUCCAGGCCCAUUGCUAGAUUGUCAGAUCUCUGAGAAUUUCAGAGGGCUACCUUAAUAAUAUGUCCUGAAGAAAUGUUAAGUGACUCAACUUAAUUAAAAUGUCUCAAGAUAUUGA
Molecule: long non-coding RNA, 1893 nt
Organism: Equus quagga
Lineage: Eukaryota; Metazoa; Chordata; Mammalia; Perissodactyla; Equidae
Exons: 3
Source: RefSeq, a predicted model, not a curated record